This 253-nucleotide unclassified non-coding RNA is filed under the name uncultured Bacteroidota bacterium. RNAcentral's name for it is "uncultured Bacteroidetes bacterium contains 16S-23S intergenic spacer region". It matches the Rfam family "Bacterial small subunit ribosomal RNA", at positions 524 to 776 of the family's 1533-position model. Lineage: Bacteria; Pseudomonadati; Bacteroidota. The record is from RNAcentral.
UACGGAGGGUGCAAGCGUUGUCCGGAAUUAUUGGGUGUAAAGGGUGUGUAGGCGGACCUGUAAGUCAGAGGUGAAAGCCCACGGCUUAACCGUGGAAUUGCCUUUGAUACUGCAGGUCUUGAGUCCUGGAGAGGCUACUAGAAUUCGUGGUGUAGCGGUGAAAUGCGUAGAUAUCACGAGGAAUACCUGAUGCGUAGGCGGGUAGCUGGACAGGAACUGACGCUGAGGCACGAAAGCGUGGGGAGCAAACAGG